CCAAAAACGGUUAAUCCUUUAAAGGCCAUUUGUUCCUGUGAUACCUUUAUAUGUUGUAUAUCAUCAUGGAAUUUACUGAUAAACCAGUUGAGAAAAUUUUUAAUCUAAGAAAUUAGGAAUAUGUUGCCAACCUUAUAAACGACUAUUAAAGUGCCAGCAGUCGCGGUCAUACUUUAGUUAAAAUAAAGACAAUUAGGACAUGUAUAAGUAAAUUGCCUCCUGUAGUGAAAUACGGUUAAUAUACUUUAAUACUUAAAAUUCAACUAGUACUGAUAACAAACAGGGAUUAGAUACCCCUCUAUGCAGUAAGUAAACCACGUCCUGGGCAUUACAAUUAACAAAUUGAAACCCAACGAACAUGGCGGUAGUUUAAAUAUUUAGGGGAACUUACUAUGUAAAUGAUAACCACCAAGAAUAUGUACGUUAAGUAAAAUUUUACAUACCGUCGUCGUCAGAUAUUCUACGAUAGAAUAUCACAAUAUAUAACACUAUAAAAGGACAGAUCAAGGUGUAGACCACCUUCACGUUUAAGCGAGUUACAAUAUUUUUUAUUUUCGUAACCUAGUUUAUAGCUACUUACAGUCGGACUUAAAAGUAAUAGUUAUAGAAAAUACAGUAUGAAUAUUUUUAAUCUGUGC
Molecule: ribosomal RNA, 638 nt
Filed under: Helix fathallae
Lineage: Eukaryota; Metazoa; Mollusca; Gastropoda; Stylommatophora; Helicidae
Description: partial small subunit ribosomal RNA
Source: RNAcentral